Molecule: non-coding RNA, 603 nt
Organism: Pseudopodoces humilis (Tibetan ground-tit)
Lineage: Eukaryota; Metazoa; Chordata; Aves; Passeriformes; Paridae
Source: RefSeq, a predicted model, not a curated record
CCUCGGUGACUCAACACCCGAACGUCAAACACUGACACUGCUCACGCUGCAGAAACAUCAGAUUGCUGCAUCUAUUUCACACUGUUGAUGGGGAAACAGAGAAUUCAAGUCUCAUUUAAAUCAUCUUCUGCCUUAGAAGAAAAGGAGCAGAAAGAGGGUCUGAUGUAUCAAAGAAGACACAGGACUUGCUCACAUUCAAUGGAAAACUUGCAAAGCCUGGGAAGAGGACUAGACCUGUGCUUUCAAGCUGCCAGGAAGGGAAUUAACCCAAUGGCAGCAGUUGUGGUCUCAGCAGAUGACACUGAAGAUCACCAGUUUUCCGACUCCACGUAAUCACCAGACAGCCACGAGAUGGAAAAGGCUAAAUCUUCACUCUUUUGUGAGAGAACUGAGAUUUUCAAGGGAAAAACUGGACUGACUUCUCUGCGUGGGACUUAGAUAUCCUGGAACUGGAAAGAUAAAGGAGUUGGCAAGAACUUGCUUUAUCCACCAUGCUGCUCUCUGACUGCUGCUGGCCCCACAGAGAUGGCUUCAUUCCAUCAGUAUUUAUUGCAUAUAAUUUGCAAACAGCUCGUUGAGAUGCUCUGAAAGAUGCAAUAAAAA